GCAAACUUGGUCAUUUAGAGGAAGUAAAAGUCGUAACAAGGUUUCCGUAGGUGAACCUGCGGAAGGAUCAUUAACGAACCGAACAAAGGGGGGGGCGCCCCCUCGGCUGGUGCUGGCCCCUCGGGGCACGUGCACGCCUUGCGCGCCCCUCCGCUCGCUUCGCCUCCCCUGUGCACUUCAUGUAGGUCGCCCACCGGCGCCUACGAUUUUCGUCUUUGUACGCACCCUGAUUGCAUGUCGCUUACGUUGACACGAAAUACAAUACAACUUUCAACAACGGAUCUCUUGGCUCUCGCAUCGAUGAAGAACGCAGC
This 314-nucleotide unclassified non-coding RNA is filed under the name uncultured fungus. RNAcentral's name for it is "partial contains small subunit ribosomal RNA, internal transcribed spacer 1, and 5.8S ribosomal RNA". The stretch from base 1 to 73 matches the Rfam family "Eukaryotic small subunit ribosomal RNA", at positions 1759 to 1831 of the family's 1831-position model. The record is from RNAcentral. Lineage: Eukaryota; Fungi.